CUAACCUUUUCGUAUGUCUUUCCAUAGACUCGUACCAAAAGUCUCCCUCACCUCACAAGUGUUCCACCCCCUAACUAGUUCCCUAAACUUUCCUUGGAUGAUCUUCCCCAAAAGCACUCUCGCUCAAAGACAAACCUCUAUAACCAUUAGCCAAGUAAGGCCUAAUUAAAAGGAGGUGUUAUAUAGUUGGGGAGGUUCUUUUGUGGGGAAAAAAAAGAAAAAAUUCUGGAGUUCCAUUCCAUUAUUCAUUUUUUGGAUGGUUUGGAAGGAAAGGAAUAGAUUAGCUUUUAGGGGGGGGGGGGGGGUUUAGCAAUUCAGAGGUUCAAAUAUUCUUUUGUUUGUUAUAUCUGGGGUUGGGCUAAGUUGUAUAUGGAGGAGAAGCUGAAUUCCCUUUUAGAUUUCCUGGAGUGGAUUGCCUCCAGUUGAGGGGUGGUUUGUUUUUUUUGGUCUUUUGCUUGUUUUUGGCCUUUGCUGCCUGGUAUAAGUCCUGUAUACGUUGAGGUUUUUUGCCUCUUUAAUGAAUUGUGUUUACUUAUCAAAAAAAAAAAAAAGUAAGGCCUAAUUAAGAACCUCCAGUCUUUUAAUGCCUAAACCUCUGAACUUCUUAUUUGCAAAGCUUAG
Molecule: long non-coding RNA, 621 nt
Filed under: Vitis vinifera (wine grape)
Lineage: Eukaryota; Viridiplantae; Streptophyta; Magnoliopsida; Vitales; Vitaceae
Description: long non-coding RNA (VVIN_LNC003404)
Source: RNAcentral